Molecule: ribosomal RNA, 253 nt
Filed under: uncultured bacterium
Lineage: Bacteria
Description: partial 16S ribosomal RNA
Rfam family: Bacterial small subunit ribosomal RNA
Source: RNAcentral
UACGUAGGGUGCGAGCGUUGUCCGGAAUUACUGGGCGUAAAGAGCUCGUAGGUGGUUUGUCGCGUUGUUCGUGAAAUCUCACGGCUUAACUGUGAGCGUGCGGGCGAUACGGGCAGACUGGAGUACUGCAGGGGAGACUGGAAUUCCUGGUGUAGCGGUGGAAUGCGCAGAUAUCAGGAGGAACACCGGUGGCGAAGGCGGAUCUCUGGGCCAUUACUGACGCUGAGGAGCGAAAGCGUGGGGAGCGAACAGG